RNAcentral lists this small RNA (68 nucleotides) under Mycobacterium talmoniae. RNAcentral describes it as "ASdes TB sRNA". It matches the Rfam family "ASdes TB sRNA". Lineage: Bacteria; Bacillati; Actinomycetota; Actinomycetes; Mycobacteriales; Mycobacteriaceae. The record is from Rfam by way of RNAcentral.
AACGCCACCGGAUCGACACCCCGGGUCACCACCAGGUAGUCGCGCAGCGCCACGCUGUGGCGGCCCUC